RNAcentral lists this non-coding RNA (29 nucleotides) under Homo sapiens (human). The record is from RNAcentral. Lineage: Eukaryota; Metazoa; Chordata; Mammalia; Primates; Hominidae.
UGUGAAAGCAGAAGUAAAAUAUGUUACUU